CGCGUAGGCGGCUUUGUAAGUCCGUUGUGAAAUCCCUCGGCUCAACCGAGGAACUGCGACGGAUACUGCUUGGCUUGAGUCCCGGAGAGGGUAGCGGAAUUCCCAGUGUAGCGGUGAAAUGCGUAGAUAUUGGGAGGAACAUCGGUGGCGAAGGCGGCUACCUGGACGGGUACUGACGCUGAGGCGCGAAAGCUAGGGGAGCAAACA
RNAcentral lists this ribosomal RNA (207 nucleotides) under uncultured bacterium. RNAcentral's name for it is "partial 16S ribosomal RNA". It matches the Rfam family "Bacterial small subunit ribosomal RNA", at positions 568 to 774 of the family's 1533-position model. The record is from RNAcentral.